This is a non-coding RNA of Macaca mulatta (Rhesus monkey), 1292 nucleotides long. NCBI's taxonomy places the organism in Eukaryota, Metazoa, Chordata, Mammalia, Primates, Cercopithecidae. The record is from RefSeq and is a predicted model, not a curated record.
GCCCCUCACGUAAGGUUUCCAGUGAGACAGAAAGUCACUCAGACUCGUGAGCCUGUACCAAGCAGCAGGCAUGAGAAGGGAAAUAAGGUAGACAUCAGUAGACCAAUGAGGUGGAGGUGGAAGCUGCUGAAGAAUGGGGAGAGAAAUGGCUGAGCCAGGCUGGUUUGGAAUCAGACUCUAAACUGCCAGAUCCAGCUACCUAAGAUGCCCCCUGCCACAGGGAAGGCACAUCGCAGCCUUCUUGGGCUUAAGAAUACUAGGCAGCACUUCAAGCACUUCGCUGGGGGCCAUUUUAAACUGCAAAACCACCAACAAUAAAUAAAAAAUUUGGAAAAACCGUGGCAUCACACAGACUGCGAGAGGGACACUUGUUUAUAGGAUGAGAGCUGAAACAAGAAGGCAGUGUCCUGUUAUUUCAACUCAGCUGGGAACAUGCUUGUCAGUGUCUACAGUUUUUCACCACUUUUCACAUGCCUGGGAAUGACCACAAAAGCACCGCAGAGAGGUGAAUAGAGGAGUCUGUUCUAGUAAGCAGGAGCAGCAAAUACUCAGAGAUUCGGAAGUGGGAGAACACAAGCAGCCUGGGAGGCUCUGCAUGUGUCAGGGAGAAGAGGAAAAGGCUGCCAUGAUGGAGGCUCUUCAAUGACACUCGGCUAUCCUGCAAGCGUCUUCUUCCUUGGGCCGGGGUGCUCACCUGUCUUGUGGUUGCCCACCGUCUUUUGAACACUUACCCUAUGCUGGAGGAAUUUUCCACAUUGUGAGUCUCACCUCCUCCAGCCAGAAGCAGGAACUCCUUCCCCAGCAUCCCUUGCCAGUAGGGAGCGGGCUGUGACCACCCACUCAGAGGUGGGCUAGAUAACAGGUGAAAGGGCACGGAUGGGACAUGGCUACAGGACGCGAGCCUGGGUCUGCAGUGGGAGCCCCUGUCAGCAUGGAUUGGGUGAUAUUCCAUGGGAAUACGAGCCCAGUAUUGGCCAGAACCCCCUACUUCCCUCUUCCAAAAGCCCCAUAUCUAUCUAGAUUUUCGCACAAAGUUCAAUUUUGAAAUCUGGGUAUAUAAUUUAAAAAGCAUUUUUAAAAGCCAGUGGGCCACAGAGCACAGAGCACAUCUGCAGGUCGCAGAGGACCUGCACGGCAACCUUUUUAGCGGGAGCUAUUCCAGGGUGAGGGUACGGGCGCCCUACUUGAUCCCUUUCUUUCCCUACAUGAUCAGCCUGUCUGUACCCUUCAGAAGUGAUGUGGACUGAGCUUGCCUCUCUUUUAAUAAAAAUUUAUAUAUGUCUGUGUUCCAA